Cavia aperea (Brazilian guinea pig) is the source of this 100-nucleotide small nuclear RNA. Lineage: Eukaryota; Metazoa; Chordata; Mammalia; Rodentia; Caviidae. The record is from Ensembl.
AUGUUUCAACAACACACAUACUAAAAUUUGAGCAGUAAAGAAAUUAGCGUGGUACCUAUGCAAGGAUGAUAUGCAGAUUUGUAAAACAUCUCAUAUUUUC